GAUGAACGCUAGCUACAGGCUUAACACAUGCAAGUCGAGGGGUAACGAGAGGAAAGCUUGCUUUCCUUGUCGACGACCGGCGCACGGGUGAGUAACGCGUAUCCAACCUGCCCCCAACUAGGGAAUAACCUUGCGAAAGUAAGACUAAUACCCUAUAAUUUCCUCAGAUGUCAUCUGACGAGGAAUAAAGAUUUAUCGGUUGUGGAUGGGGAUGCGUCUGAUUAGCUUGUUGGCGGGGUAACGGCCCACCAAGGCAACGAUCAGUAGGGGUUCUGAGAGGAAGGUCCCCAACAUUGGAACUGGGACACGGUCCAAACUCCUACGGGAGGCAGCAGUGAGGAAUAUUGGUCAAUGGGCGGAAGCCUGAACCAGCCAAGUAGCGUGCAGGAUGACGGCCCUAUGGGUUGUAAACUGCUUUUAUACAGGAAUAAAGUUAGCCACGUGUGGUUAUUUGUAGGUACCGUAUGAAUAAGGACCGGCUAAUUCCGUGCCAGCCGCCGCCGUAA
RNAcentral lists this ribosomal RNA (506 nucleotides) under uncultured bacterium. RNAcentral's name for it is "partial 16S ribosomal RNA". It matches the Rfam family "Bacterial small subunit ribosomal RNA", at positions 28 to 523 of the family's 1533-position model. The record is from RNAcentral.